UGGAAGGUGCUCCAGGAUAACAAAGAAGGGC
Molecule: non-coding RNA, 31 nt
Filed under: Homo sapiens (human)
Lineage: Eukaryota; Metazoa; Chordata; Mammalia; Primates; Hominidae
Source: RNAcentral